Molecule: ribosomal RNA, 429 nt
Filed under: Pseudomonadota bacterium
Lineage: Bacteria; Pseudomonadati; Pseudomonadota
Description: Proteobacteria bacterium partial 16S ribosomal RNA
Rfam family: Bacterial small subunit ribosomal RNA
Source: RNAcentral
UGGGGAAUAUUGGACAAUGGGCGAAAGCCUGAUCCAGCCAUGCCGCGUGUGUGAAGAAGGUAUUCGGAUUGUAAAGCACUUUAAGUUGGGAGGAAGGGCAGUAAGCGAAUACCUUGCUGUUUUGACGUUACCGACAGAAUAAGCACCGGCUAACUCUGUGCCAGCAGCCGCGGUAAUACAGAGGGUGCAAGCGUUAAUCGGAAUUACUGGGCGUAAAGCGCGCGUAGGUGGUUCGUUAAGUUGAAUGUGAAAGCCCCGGGCUCAACCUGGGAACUGCAUCCAAAACUGGCGAGCUAGAGUAGGGCAGAGGGUGGUGGAAUUUCCUGUGUAGCGGUGAAAUGCGUAGAUAUAGGAAGGAACACCAGUGGCGAAGGCGACCACCUGGGCUCAUACUGACACUGAUGUGCGAAAGCGUGGGGAGCAAACAGG